Molecule: ribosomal RNA, 547 nt
Filed under: uncultured bacterium
Lineage: Bacteria
Description: bacterial SSU rRNA
Rfam family: Bacterial small subunit ribosomal RNA
Source: RNAcentral
UGGGGAAUUUUGGACAAUGGGCGCAAGCCUGAUCCAGCCAUGCCGCGUGUCUGAAGAAGGCCUUCGGGUUGUAAAGGACUUUUGUCAGGGAAGAAAAGGACAGGGUUAAUACCUCUGUUUGAUGACGGUACCUGAAGAAUAAGCACCGGCUAACUACGUGCCAGCAGCCGCGGUAAUACGUAGGGUGCGAGCGUUAAUCGGAAUUACUGGGCGUAAAGCGAGCGCAGACGGUUACUUAAGCAGGAUGUGAAAUCCCCGGGCUCAACCUGGGAACUGCGUUCUGAACUGGGUGACUAGAGUGUGUCAGAGGGAGGUAGAAUUCCACGUGUAGCAGUGAAAUGCGUAGAGAUGUGGAGGAAUACCGAUGGCGAAGGCAGCCUCCUGGGAUAACACUGACGUUCAUGCUCGAAAGCGUGGGUAGCAAACAGGAUUAGAUACCCUGGUAGUCCACGCCCUAAACGAUGUCAAUUAGCUGUUGGGCAACUUGAUUGCUUAGUAGCGUAGCUACGCGUGAAAUUGACCGCCUGGGGAGUACGGUCGCAAGAUU